UUACACCUGGUGGGUAGGCAAAGCCAACGAGAAGCAUUACUACUGGGGAGGCUCUGGGCCUGGAAUUCAGAAAUGUGCCUGCGGCAUCGAGCGCAACUGCACGGACCCCAGAUACUACUGCAACUGUGACGCGGAUUACAAGCAGUGGAGAAAGGAUGCUGGUUUCUUAUCCUACAAAGAUCACCUGCCGGUCAGCCAGGUGGUUGUUGGAGAUACCGACCGGCAAGGCUCAGAAGCCAAACUGAGUGUGGGUCCCCUGCGCUGCCAAGGAGACCGGAAUUACUGGAAUGCGGCCUCUUUCCCAAACCCAUCAUCCUACCUGCACUUCUCCACUUUCCAAGGGGAGACCAGUGCCGACAUCUCCUUCUACUUCAAAACGUUAAUCCCCCGGGGCGUGUUUCUUGAAAAUCUGGGGAACACAGAUUUCAUCAAACUCGAACUGA
Odocoileus virginianus texanus is the source of this 443-nucleotide non-coding RNA. The record is from RefSeq and is a predicted model, not a curated record. NCBI's taxonomy places the organism in Eukaryota, Metazoa, Chordata, Mammalia, Artiodactyla, Cervidae.